Molecule: transfer RNA, 70 nt
Filed under: Desulfuromonadales bacterium
Lineage: Bacteria; Pseudomonadati; Thermodesulfobacteriota; Desulfuromonadia; Desulfuromonadales
Description: tRNA-Asn
Rfam family: tRNA (bases 4-59)
About the family: Transfer RNA (tRNA) molecules are approximately 80 nucleotides in length. Their secondary structure includes four short double-helical elements and three loops (D, anti-codon, and T loops). Further hydrogen bonds mediate the characteristic L-shaped molecular structure. tRNAs have two regions of fundamental functional importance: the anti-codon, which is responsible for specific mRNA codon recognition, and the 3' end, to which the tRNAs corresponding amino acid is attached (by aminoacyl-tRNA synthetases). tRNAs cope with the degeneracy of the genetic code in two manners: having more than one tRNA (with a specific anti-codon) for a particular amino acid; and 'wobble' base-pairing, i.e. permitting non-standard base-pairing at the 3rd anti-codon position.
Source: RNAcentral
UCUGCCCACUUGCUAGAGCAGCGGACUGUUAAUCCGCUUGUCGCUGGUUCGAGCCCAGCAGGCGGAGCCA